CCUGGCCUUGGGCCGCUCCCGGGGGCUCGCUCCCGGGGGUGCUCAGCCCUUGACCUUCACCUUGACUAUGCGCACCUUUGUUGUUCCCUCGGCAGGUCUCCUGCCGCCAGGGACCCCAAAACCCCUUAGUAUUAGCAUCAAACUUCUGAAAACAAACCUAAUUAUUUA
This 168-nucleotide unclassified non-coding RNA is filed under the name soil metagenome. RNAcentral describes it as "partial internal transcribed spacer 1". The record is from RNAcentral.